UACGUAGGCAGCGAGCGUUGUUCGGAGUUACUGGGCGUAAAGGGUGUGUAGGCGGUUUUCUAAGUUUGGUGUGAAAUCUCCCGGCUUGACCGGGAGGGUGCGCCGAAAACUGGGAGACUAGAGUGCGGGAUGGGAGAGUAGAAUUCCUGGUGUAGCGGUGAAAUGCGUAGAUAUCAGGAGGAAUACCGGUGGUGCAGACGGCUCUCUGGACCGCAACUGACGCUGAGACACGAAAGCGUGGGUAGCAAACAGG
This 253-nucleotide ribosomal RNA is filed under the name uncultured bacterium. RNAcentral's name for it is "partial 16S ribosomal RNA". It matches the Rfam family "Bacterial small subunit ribosomal RNA", at positions 524 to 776 of the family's 1533-position model. The record is from RNAcentral.